CCUACGGGGGGCAGCAGUCGGGAAUAUUGCGCAAUGGAGGAAACUCUGACGCAGUGACGCCGCGUAUAGGAAGAAGGUUUUCGGAUUGUAAACUAUUGUCGUUAGGGAAGAAAAAAGACAGUACCUAAGGAGGAAGCUCCGGCUAACUACGUGCCAGCAGCCGCGGUAAUACGUAGGGAGCGAGCGUUAUCCGGAUUUAUUGGGUGUAAAGGGUGCGUAGACGGGUAUACAAGUUGGUUGUGAAAUCCCUCGGCUUAACUGAGGAACUGCAACCAAAACUGUAUAUCUUGAGUACAGGAGAGGUA
This 305-nucleotide ribosomal RNA is filed under the name uncultured bacterium. Its description in RNAcentral is "bacterial SSU rRNA". It matches the Rfam family "Bacterial small subunit ribosomal RNA", at positions 338 to 659 of the family's 1533-position model. The record is from RNAcentral.